This is a small nuclear RNA of Ailuropoda melanoleuca (giant panda), 107 nucleotides long. The record is from Ensembl. Lineage: Eukaryota; Metazoa; Chordata; Mammalia; Carnivora; Ursidae.
GCGCUUGCUUUGGCAGCACAGAUACUAAAAUUGAAAUGAUACAGAGAAGAUUAGCAGGACCCUUGGACAAAGAUGACAUGCAUAUCUCUGAAGCAUUCCAUAUUUUG